GAUGAACGCUAGCUACAGGCUUAACACAUGCAAGUCGAACGGACAGAACAGGGAAGCUUUUCGGAGUGGAACUGGAAAGUUAGUGGCGGAUGGGUGAGUAACGCGUGGACAACCUACCUUGUAAAGGGGAAUAACCUCGAGAAAUCGAAGCUAAUACCCCAUAAUAACCUUGCUUCGCAUGAAGUAAGGAGGAAAGGCGGCCUUAGCGCUGUCGAUACAAGAUGGGUCCGCGUCUGAUUAGCUAGUUGGUGAGGUAAAGGCUCACCAAGGCGACGAUCAGUAGCCGGCCUGAGAGGGUGAACGGCCACAUUGGGACUGAGACACGGCCCAAACUCCUACGGGAGGCAGCAGUGGGGAAUCUUCCGCAAUGGGCGAAAGCCUGACGGAGCAAUGCCGCGUGAGUGAAGAAGGCCUUCGGGUUGUAAAACUCUGUCCUUAUCGAAGAGAGAGUGUUGUAGUAACUGACAAUACUAGGACGGUAGAUGAGGAGGAAGCCCCGGCUAACUAUGUGCCAGCAGCCGCGGUAAAACAUAGGGGGCAAGCGUUGUCCGGAAUCACUGGGCGUAAAGGGCGCGCAGGCGGUAAAUUAAGUCAGGUGUGAAAGUUCGGGGCUCAACCCCGUGAUUGCACCUGAUACUGAUAAACUAGAGUGUUGGAGAGGUAAGUGGAAUUCCUAGUGUAGCGGUGGAAUGCGUAGAUAUUAGGAGGAACACCAGUGGCGAAGGCGACUUACUGGCCAAUAACUGACGCUGAGGCGCGAAAGCGUGGGGAGCAAACAGG
This 780-nucleotide ribosomal RNA is filed under the name uncultured Peptococcus sp. RNAcentral describes it as "bacterial SSU rRNA". It matches the Rfam family "Bacterial small subunit ribosomal RNA", at positions 28 to 776 of the family's 1533-position model. Lineage: Bacteria; Bacillati; Bacillota; Clostridia; Eubacteriales; Peptococcaceae. The record is from RNAcentral.